GCGUCAAUGGUCUAGUGGUUAGGAUUCAACCCUUCCAUGAUUGUAAGGUUGAGGGGGGGGUUCGAUUCCCUCUUGACGCA
Lasiosphaeria ovina is the source of this 80-nucleotide non-coding RNA. Lineage: Eukaryota; Fungi; Ascomycota; Sordariomycetes; Sordariales; Lasiosphaeriaceae. The record is from the annotation of a GenBank genome assembly.